Molecule: ribosomal RNA, 1534 nt
Organism: Thalassiosira oceanica
Lineage: Eukaryota; Bacillariophyta; Thalassiosirophyceae; Thalassiosirales; Thalassiosiraceae
Rfam family: Bacterial small subunit ribosomal RNA
Source: Rfam
UAAAAUAUGAGUUUGAUCCUGGCUCAGAAUGAACGCUAAUAGUAUGCUUUACACAUGCGAGUUGUACGAAAAAUCGUAGCGAACGGGUGAGGAAUGCGCAAUUGAAAAAUUAACUACCUUUUAAUUCAAGAUAAACUAUACCUUUUAAGAUUAGAUUUUUUUAGGGUAAAACUUUUUAGUUUAUAGUAAUAUUGAAUAAAGAUUUUAUAACUUUUAUUUAUUUAAAAAUCGUUAAAAGAUGAAUUUGUGUAAGAUUAGGUAGUUGGUGUAAAUAAAAGUGCACCAAGCCUAUGAUCUUUAGUUGGCCUAAGAGGGUGUGCAACCACACUGGAACUGAGACAAGGUCCAGGCUAUUUUAGCCAGCAGUGAGGAAUAUUGGACAAUUAACGAAAGUUUGAUCCAGCAAUACUAUGUGAAUGAAUGACGGCUAAUUUUUGGUUGUAAAGUUCUUUCGUUAAAAAUGAUAAUGACAUUAUUUAAAAAAGUUUUAGUCCCGGCUAAUCUCGUGCCAGCAGCCGCGGUAAUACGGGAGGGGCAAGCGUUAUUCGAAAUUACUGGGCGUACAAAAUUCGUAGGUUGUAAUUUAAGUUGUGUGUUAAAAUUUAAAGCCUAACUUUAAAAGAACAUACAAUACUUUUUUACUAGAGUUGAAUACAGAAAAGUAGAAUUUUAUGUUAAGGAGUAAUUACCUGAAAUACAUGAAGGAAUAUCAAUAGCGAAGGCAACUUUUUAGUAUAAACUGACACUGAGGGAUGAAAGUGUAGGGAGCAAAUAGGAUUAGAUACCCUAGUAGUCUAUACUGUAAAUUCUGAAUGCUGUAAUUUAAAGAAAUUUAGAUUUUUAAGCUAACGCCAUAAGCAUUCUGCCUGAGGAGUACGAUCGCAAGAUUUGAACUUAAAGGUAUUGACGGGAGUCUACAACGAGUGGUGGAGCAUGUGAUUUAAUGCGAUAAUCCGCGCAAAAUCUUACCAACCUUUGACAUACUGAAAAGUUUUAAAAAAUUAAAUUUCAUUACAGGUGUUGCACGACUGUCGUCAGCUAGUGUCGUAAGAUGUUUGGUUAAUUCCUUUAAACUAGCGUAACUCUCAUUUUUAAUAGACUACUUUUAAUAUUUAAUUUUUAUUAAAUAUUUUGUUUUAAAAAGACUGCCUUUAUAGGAAGAAGGUGAGAAUAAAGUCAAGUCACUGUGGCCCUUAUAGGUUGGGCUAUACACGUGCUACAAUGGGAAUGACAAAAAGCAACAAAAAUGAAAAUUUUAGUUAAUCUUAAAAAAUUCCCUUAGUUCAGAUUGCAGACUGCAACUCGUUUGCAUAAAGAUGGAAUCACAAGUAAUCGCAAAUCAGAACGUUGCGGUGAAUAAGUACCUUGACUUUGUACACACCGCCCGUCACAUGCAAAAAGUUAAUUUUAUUUGAAGGUUAUGUUUUUUUGUUUUGUUUUUUAAUAAAAAAAUUAGCCCAUUAAAAGAUUAAUAAUUUGGAUGAAGUCGUAACAAGGUAGCUGUACGGGAACGUGUAGCUGGAACAAGUGAAAU